UGUAUUUGAAUUAAAUGUAAUUAAAAUAAAUUUUAAUUCGACACUCGUAAGGCUAAUUAAAAGUAUGUGUAUUCUACACAAUAAAAGUGAGGCUAGAUAAAGCUACAUUUAUCCAUAUUUUAUUGUGUCAAAACAAAGUGAUGAAUACAGAGCUUUCUAAUGUGACUAUUCACAAGCCAGUAAAGGACAGCUAUUUAUAUCAGAUCCAUUAAUAAACCCAGUCAACUACUGCUUUAUGCUUUAAUAAGGAGAAAAGCAAAAACUGAUAAUCGAUUAUUAUUGCUGCAAAUUCAAAAGUUAAUAUCAGAAUUUAUCAAUAAAAGCACCUGGCAGCAAGGCACAACUGUUCUCAGUUUAUUAGUUGUUGCAUUUGUUUUUUCUGAUGUCUUUUUAAACUUACUCAGAAAAGAAAACAAAUCUUAAUCAACAACAUUGUUGCAUUGUAGUCUAGGUUUGAGCAAUUAAACAUUGAUCCAGUCUAACCUUUAAUCACAAUUUUAAACAGUAGCUAUUCUCCUUCUGAUGGGAAUUCUGUAAAAGUACUUUUUAAAAUUCCCAUAAACAAAAACAUUAAGGAGGACCAGGAUUAAGAUAGCUACAUUAAAAAUACAGCCAGAAAAUCAUGAAUGUUCUCUUUUGCAUCUUAGAAUGCCUGUGCAUUUGAUCUGACACAAAAUUUAAAUACUUGAAAACUUUGAAUUUGGAAUAUUUAGCUUCUCACAUUUAGCAGAACUAAUGUGCUCAAUUUUUAGAAAGAGUAAAUUAAUUGUUAUUUUUACCUUUUGUUUAAAAUAAAAAACUUGAAAGAACGAUAACAAAAUCUCUGCUGUGUUUACAGGUUGGCAUCUCUAAAGCUGAAUACAUGGAUGGUGCUGUCCAAAAGUUACUUCUGGAUAUUUUGUUUCAGAGGUUGAGAAAAGAGGGGGUACCACAGCCAGAAUUCAUAUCGACAUGGAGACAGAGAAUGGUACAAUGAAAGACAUUCAAAGAUUUUUGCGUCUUGAUGACAGCUAUCCUGAAAACUACUUCAUUGUGGGAUCCAGCACCCACAGCCAGCACAUCAACAGCCAGUACUGGAUGAACCUUUUUCAAAAACUGAAGAAUACAGAUUACUUUACUGGUGACUUCUUGGAUAAGCAGCCAAUUCUACUCACCUGUUUAAAUAUCACUGAGGAAGAACUCUUAAAGUGGUUCACUUAUGGAACAUAAUUCGUAAGAUUAGAGAUACUAUUGCUCCAAGUUGCCGGUCCUACAUGAUGUAUACCCUUCCACGGCUUUUUGGUGAACAAGACAAUCUCAAACAGGUUUCUGAGCAAGCGGCGGAAACUUGCACAGUCCAACGUCUUCAGAGGACCAUUCACACGUGAUGAGACAGUUCGAAGGAUCAUACCUUCUGAUGACAGAGAACUUUCUUCAUGCACCGUCCACACAUGAUGAAACAAUUGAGUUAUGCUUAUUUUUAAGAGCUAAUAUACGCACAAACCUGUGACACGUGUGAUAUUUUCUUGUAAAAAAAAGAGUUUGUGGAGCAAAUGACCUUGUGAGCCUGUUCAGAAUGAACCUGUCACUUUCCCACACAGUCAGAAAUAGGCAGCUGCAGACCCCACAACCCAUAAAGGACAGGCAGUCAAAGAAAUACAGAUGGAAGGGGAAAAAAACAGACCUCUGUUUUCUUCGAUUCCCAUGUACUUAAAGGUUUCAUCAUGAUGUACAUAACUUUUUGAAUUUUGCUGCUAGGUUUUAUAUUUUCUGUGAUUCUUGUUGUGUUUGACAGUAAAUAUAUGCUGCUACAUAUAUUAGGACAAUAACAAGAAAUCUAACUUCACAUUUGCCUUGUGAUCUAUCAUGCAGGACACAAAAUGUUUAAAUGACAUGUUCUGUAAACCCCACCACUGCUCCUCAUAUUCAAGACAUAGUUUUUAUAUUUAUAACAGCAAGAGUUAUAGUUCUCUGUUACUGAACACUGAGACCCAAGUUAUGUACUGUUUCACAAUGACGAUAUGGUCGAAUGAUAUAUGAAAACCUUUAAUGAAUCUUUGGUAAAAACCCAUUACAAAAUGAAGUGUUAUGGUUUGUGAUCAAACCAACUCAUUCUUUCCUUAGAAACAUAACAUUAUACUGCAAUGUUACAUCAACUCACAGAAGAACAUACAUUAAAAGUACCUUUAACAAGU
Fundulus heteroclitus (mummichog) is the source of this 2174-nucleotide long non-coding RNA. RefSeq lists it as uncharacterized. The record is from RefSeq and is a predicted model, not a curated record. The transcript has 2 exons. Lineage: Eukaryota; Metazoa; Chordata; Actinopteri; Cyprinodontiformes; Fundulidae.